Molecule: ribosomal RNA, 552 nt
Filed under: Saccharomyces cerevisiae (brewer's yeast)
Lineage: Eukaryota; Fungi; Ascomycota; Saccharomycetes; Saccharomycetales; Saccharomycetaceae
Description: partial large subunit ribosomal RNA
Rfam family: Eukaryotic large subunit ribosomal RNA
Source: RNAcentral
CAAUAAGCGGAGGAAAAGAAACCAACCGGGAUUGCCUUAGUAACGGCGAGUGAAGCGGCAAAAGCUCAAAUUUGAAAUCUGGUACCUUCGGUGCCCGAGUUGUAAUUUGGAGAGGGCAACUUUGGGGCCGUUCCUUGUCUAUGUUCCUUGGAACAGGACGUCAUAGAGGGUGAGAAUCCCGUGUGGCGAGGAGUGCGGUUCUUUGUAAAGUGCCUUCGAAGAGUCGAGUUGUUUGGGAAUGCAGCUCUAAGUGGGUGGUAAAUUCCAUCUAAAGCUAAAUAUUGGCGAGAGACCGAUAGCGAACAAGUACAGUGAUGGAAAGAUGAAAAGAACUUUGAAAAGAGAGUGAAAAAGUACGUGAAAUUGUUGAAAGGGAAGGGCAUUUGAUCAGACAUGGUGUUUUGUGCCCUCUGCUCCUUGUGGGUAGGGGAAUCUCGCAUUUCACUGGGCCAGCAUCAGUUUUGGUGGCAGGAUAAAUCCAUAGGAAUGUAGCUUGCCUCGGUAAGUAUUAUAGCCUGUGGGAAUACUGCCAGCUGGGACUGAGGACUGCGA